CCAAAGGACGUGGAUAAACUCGGGAAACUGAGGCUAAACCGCGAUAGACCAAUAUACCUGGAAUGGUUUUUGAUUAAAAUCUAUAUGGCCUUUGGAUUGGACUGCGACCGAUCAGGCUGUUGGUGAGGUAAUGGCCCACCAAACCUGUAACCGGUACGGGCUCUGAGAGGAGGAGCCCGGAGAUGGGUACUGAGACAAGGACCCAGGCCCUAUGGGGCGCAGCAGGCGCGAAACCUCUGCAAUAGGCGAAAGCCUGACAGGGUUACUCUGAGUGACUUUCGCUAAGAAAGUCUUUUGACACCUCUAAAAAUGGUGUAGAAUAAGGGGUGGGCAAGUCUGGUGUCAGCCGCCGCGGUAAUACCAGCACCCCGAGUGGUCGGGACGAUUAUUGGGCCUAAAGCAUCCGUAGCCGGUCUUACAAGUCCUCCGUUAAAUCCAACUGCUUAACAGAUGGGCCGCGGAGGAUACUAUAAGACUAGGAGGCAGGAGAGGCAAGCGGUACUCAGUGGGUAGGGGUAAAAUCCGUUGAUCCAUUGAAGACCACCAGUGGCGAAGGCGGCUUGCCAGAAUGCGCUCGACGGUGAGGGAUGAAAGCUGGGGGAGCAAACCGGAUUAGAUACCCGGGUAGUCCCAGCUGUAAACGAUGCAGACUCGGUGAUGGACUAGCUUCAUGCUAGUCCAGUGCCGCAGGGAAGCCGUUAAGUCUGCCGCCUGGGUAGUACGGACGCAAGACUGAAACUUAAAGGAAUUGGCGGGGGAGCACCACAAGGGGUGAAGCCUGCGGUUCAAUUGGAUUCAACGCCGGA
This 806-nucleotide ribosomal RNA is filed under the name uncultured archaeon. RNAcentral describes it as "bacterial SSU rRNA". It matches the Rfam family "Archaeal small subunit ribosomal RNA", at positions 113 to 922 of the family's 1478-position model. The record is from RNAcentral.